GGCGAUCAGAUACCGCCCUAGUUCUAACCGUAAACGAUGACAACCAGCGAUUCAUCGGCGUUAAUAUACGACCCGAUUAGCAGCUUCCGGGAAACCAAAGUUUUUCGUUUCCGGGGGAAGUAUGGUUGCAAAGCUGAAACUUAAAGGAAUUGACGGAAGGGCACCACCAGGAGUGGAGCCUGCGGCUUAAUUUGACUCAACACGGGAAAACUCACCCGGCCCGGACACUGUAAGGAUUGACAGACUGAGAGCUCUUUCUUAAUUCAGUGGGUGGUGGUGCAUGGCCGUUCUUAGUUGGUGGAGCGAUUUGUCUGGUUAAUUCCGAUAACGAACGAGACUCUGGCCUAUUAAAUAGACGAGAUAUUCUAAAGUAUCUCGCGCUUCUUAGAGGGACAAGCGGCGUCUAGUCGCAUGAAAAAGAGCAAUAACAGGUCUGUGAUGCCCUUAGAUGUCCGGGGCUGCACGCGCGCUACACUGAAAGAAUCAGUGGGCGUUAUACCUAGUUCGGAAGAACCGGGUAACCCAAGUAAUUUCUUUCGUGCUUGGGAUAGGGAAUUGCAAUUAUUUCCCUUAAACGAGGAAUUCCCAGUAAACGCGGGUCAUAAGCUCGUGUUGAUUACGUCCCUGCCCUUUGUA
Molecule: ribosomal RNA, 636 nt
Filed under: Crassolabium circuliferum
Lineage: Eukaryota; Metazoa; Nematoda; Enoplea; Dorylaimida; Qudsianematidae
Description: SSU rRNA
Rfam family: Eukaryotic small subunit ribosomal RNA
Source: RNAcentral